AUGUUGAGAUGGUUGAGUUUCAUGCUGCUGAUCUUUGCGCAUUUUGAGUGGGAAGGACAAGAGAUCCCUAUAGUACUUCAUGGGUGCUCCAAAUUAGAGAAGGCUACGAUAAUGUUCAGAGGCAGCAAAGGACUGGCCCCUGUAUUCACUUUAGUUCCGAGCAUUUUGCCAGUGAAGUUGCAAAAUCUGACAACAAGACCACAUGGCACGUUUAUGCAUUUGAGGCACAUGACCUGUCAAUUAACUGUCUUCUCUAGGCAGCCAAACGCCGACAACAGAAUUCUUCAACUUGCCCGCUGCUUGGAUAUUUCGCCCCGACUGGAGACGUUGUAUUUGGAUAUGGUAUAUCUGAACCUCGAGGGCGGUGGGAGCGAUGAUGUUCGUAUACAUGGGUCUCCCACAUGCGUCACCAUGAUCAUCUCAAGACGGUCUGCAUUGCUCAGGUCGCGGCUGGUAUGUUUCCCAUCCAGGAUCAUGGCAUCUAGCGUGCUGCGCCGGAGGUCAGCAGAUGGGCACAGCUUACCCUGGGGCGCUUCGGUAAGGUGCCGCUGGAGCUACUUCCUAACUGAUGAAAGAACUUGA
RNAcentral lists this ribosomal RNA (582 nucleotides) under Triticum aestivum (bread wheat). RNAcentral's name for it is "partial small subunit ribosomal RNA". Lineage: Eukaryota; Viridiplantae; Streptophyta; Magnoliopsida; Poales; Poaceae. The record is from RNAcentral.